RNAcentral lists this ribosomal RNA (242 nucleotides) under uncultured bacterium. RNAcentral describes it as "partial 16S ribosomal RNA". It matches the Rfam family "Bacterial small subunit ribosomal RNA", at positions 796 to 1041 of the family's 1533-position model. The record is from RNAcentral. RNAcentral also lists the same sequence under 1 other name.
CACGCAGUAAACGAUGAAUACUAGCUGUAUGCGAUACACCGUAUGUGGCACAGCGAAAGCGUUAAGUAUUCCACCUGGGGAGUACGUUCGCAAGAAUGAAACUCAAAGGAAUUGACGGGGGCCCGCACAAGCGGAGGAACAUGUGGUUUAAUUCGAUGAUACGCGAGGAACCUUACCCGGGCUUGAAAUGCAGAAGACCGACGAAGAAAUUCGUUUUCCAGCAAUGGCUUCUGUGUAGGUGC